Molecule: transfer RNA, 69 nt
Filed under: Dipodomys ordii (Ord's kangaroo rat)
Lineage: Eukaryota; Metazoa; Chordata; Mammalia; Rodentia; Heteromyidae
Rfam family: tRNA
About the family: Transfer RNA (tRNA) molecules are approximately 80 nucleotides in length. Their secondary structure includes four short double-helical elements and three loops (D, anti-codon, and T loops).
Source: Rfam by way of RNAcentral
GGGAAUGUAGCUUAGUGGUAGAGUGCUUGCUUAGCAUACAUGAAGCCUGGGUUCGAUUCCUCAGUACCA